GGUGAGUAAUACUUAGGAAUCUACCUAGUAGUGGGGGAUAGCACGGGGAAACUCGUAUUAAUACCGCAUACGACCUACGGGAGAAAGGGGGCAGUUUACUGCUCUCGCUAUUAGAUGAGCCUAAGUCGGAUUAGCUAGAUGGUGGGGUAAAGGCCUACCAUGGCGACGAUCUGUAGCUGGUCUGAGAGGAUGAUCAGCCACACCGGGACUGAGACACGGCCCGGACUCCUACGGGAGGCAGCAGUGGGGAAUAUUGGACAAUGGGGGAAACCCUGAUCCAGCCAUGCCGCGUGUGUGAAGAAGGCCUUUUGGUUGUAAAGCACUUUAAGCAGUGAAGAAGACUCCAUGGUUAAUACCCAUGGACGAUGACAUUAGCUGCAGAAUAAGCACCGGCUAACUCUGUGCCAGCAGCCGCGGUAAUACAGAGGGUGCAAAGCGUUAAUCGGAAUUACUGGGCGUAAAGGGAGCGUAGGUGGCUCUAUAAGUCAGAUGUGAAAUCCCCGGGCUUAACCCUGGGAACUGCAUCUGAAACUGUAGAGCUAGAGUAUGUGAGAGGAAGGUAGAAUUCCAGGUGUAGCGGUGAAAUGCGUAGAGAUCUGGAGGAAUACCGAUGGCGAAAGGCAGCCUUUCUGGCAUAAUACUGACACUGAGGCUCGAAAGCGUGGGUAGCAAACAGGAUUAGAUACCCUGGUAGUCCACGCCGUAAACGAUGUCUACUNAGUCGUUGGGUCCCUUGAGGACUUAGUGACGCAGCUAACGCAAUAAGUAGANCCGCCUGGGGAGUACNGGCCGCAAGGUUAAAANCUCAAAUGAAUUGACGGGGGCCCGNCACAAGCGGUGGAGCAUGUGGUUUAAUUCGAUGCAACGCGAAGAACCUUACCUGGUCUUGACAUAUCUAGAAUCCUGCAGAGAUGCGGGAGUGCCUUCGGGAAUUAGAAUACAGGUGCUGCAUGGCUGUCGUCAGCUCGUGUCGUGAGAUGUUGGGUUAAGUCCCGCAACGAGCGCAACCCUUGUCCUUAGUUGCCAGCGGGUUAAGCCGGGAACUCUAAGGAUACUGCCAGUGACAAACUGGAGGAAGGCGGGGACGACGUCAAGUCAUCAUGGCCCUUACGACCAGGGCUACACACGUGCUACAAUGGUAGGUACAGAGGGCAGCUACACAGCGAUGUGAUGCGAAUCUCAAAAAGCCUAUCGUAGUCCAGAUUGG
RNAcentral lists this ribosomal RNA (1207 nucleotides) under uncultured Psychrobacter sp. RNAcentral describes it as "bacterial SSU rRNA". It matches the Rfam family "Bacterial small subunit ribosomal RNA", at positions 105 to 1301 of the family's 1533-position model. The record is from RNAcentral. Lineage: Bacteria; Pseudomonadati; Pseudomonadota; Gammaproteobacteria; Moraxellales; Moraxellaceae.